RNAcentral lists this ribosomal RNA (497 nucleotides) under uncultured bacterium. Its description in RNAcentral is "partial 16S ribosomal RNA". It matches the Rfam family "Bacterial small subunit ribosomal RNA", at positions 28 to 507 of the family's 1533-position model. The record is from RNAcentral.
GAUGAACGCUGGCGGCGUGCCUAAUACAUGCAAGUCGAGCGACAAGACAAGGAGCUCGCUCCUCUGCUGUUAGCGAGGGGCGGAUGAGUAACACGUGGAUAAGCUUCUACUAAUACUGGGAUAACUACGGGAAACCGCUGACACUAACACAUAAUAUGUUGAACCGCAUGAUUCAACAGUGCAUGACGGUUUUGCCGUCUCUUUUAGCUGGUUCCGCGCUGCAUUAGCUAGUUGGUAAGGUAACGGCCAACCAAGGCGACGAUGCGUAGCUGACCUGAGAGGAUGAUCGGCCACACUGGAACUGAGACACGGUCCAGACUCCUACGGGAGGCAGCAGUAGGGAAUCUUCGGCAAUGGGCGAAAGCCUGACGGAGCAACGCCGCGUGAGUGAAGAAGGUCUUCGGGUCGUAAAACUCUGUUAUUAGGAAAGAACAGAUGUGUAAGUAACUAUGCACGUCUUGACGGUACCUAAUGAGAAAGCCACGGCUAACUACGUG